RNAcentral lists this ribosomal RNA (639 nucleotides) under Escherichia coli. Its description in RNAcentral is "partial 23S ribosomal RNA". It matches the Rfam family "Bacterial large subunit ribosomal RNA", at positions 1095 to 1735 of the family's 2925-position model. The record is from RNAcentral. Lineage: Bacteria; Pseudomonadati; Pseudomonadota; Gammaproteobacteria; Enterobacterales; Enterobacteriaceae.
AGGAUGUUGGCUUAGAAGCAGCCAUCAUUUAAAGAAAGCGUAAUAGCUCACUGGUCGAGUCGGCCUGCGCGGAAGAUGUAACGGGGCUAAACCAUGCACCGAAGCUGCGGCAGCGACGCUUAUGCGUUGUUGGGUAGGGGAGCGUUCUGUAAGCCUGCGAAGGUGUGCUGUGAGGCAUGCUGGAGGUAUCAGAAGUGCGAAUGCUGACAUAAGUAACGAUAAAGCGGGUGAAAAGCCCGCUCGCCGGAAGACCAAGGGUUCCUGUCCAACGUUAAUCGGGGCAGGGUGAGUCGACCCCUAAGGCGAGGCCGAAAGGCGUAGUCGAUGGGAAACAGGUUAAUAUUCCUGUACUUGGUGUUACUGCGAAGGGGGGACGGAGAAGGCUAUGUUGGCCGGGCGACGGUUGUCCCGGUUUAAGCGUGUAGGCUGGUUUUCCAGGCAAAUCCGGAAAAUCAAGGCUGAGGCGUGAUGACGAGGCACUACGGUGCUGAAGCAACAAAUGCCCUGCUUCCAGGAAAAGCCUCUAAGCAUCAGGUAACAUCAAAUCGUACCCCAAACCGACACAGGUGGUCAGGUAGAGAAUACCAAGGCGCUUGAGAGAACUCGGGUGAAGGAACUAGGCAAAAUGGUGCCGUAACU